This 154-nucleotide non-coding RNA is filed under the name Heterosigma akashiwo. Lineage: Eukaryota; Raphidophyceae; Chattonellales; Chattonellaceae. The record is from RNAcentral.
AAAAAAAACAGCUGAAAGCGAUUGGGAAUAAUUUAAUCACAAAAGAGAAUGUUUAGGGUUCUAAAUAUACUCGCGUAUAUAGUAGCUGUCUGUUUCUUUUUUAUUGUCUUUUACUUUGCACUCCACCUUGGUGAUAUUGUCAAUAACAGGCAGU